This 305-nucleotide ribosomal RNA is filed under the name uncultured bacterium. RNAcentral describes it as "bacterial SSU rRNA". It matches the Rfam family "Bacterial small subunit ribosomal RNA", at positions 334 to 656 of the family's 1533-position model. The record is from RNAcentral.
AUUUCCUACGGGACGCAGCAGUGGGGAAUAUUGCACAAUGGGGGAAACCCUGAUGCAGCAACGCCGCGUGAGUGAAGAAGUCAGUCAUGAUGUAAAGUUCUAUCAGCAGGGAAGAAAAUGACGGUACCUGAGUAAGAAGCCCCGGCUAACUACGUGCCAGCAGCCGCGGUAAUACGUAGGGGGCAAGCGUUAUCCGGAUUUACUGGGUGUAAAGGGAGCGUAGACGGCCAGACAAGUCUGAAGUGAAAAUCCAGCGCUUAACGUUGGAAGUGCUCUGGAAACUGCCGGGCUAGAGGGCAGGAGGG